CGCUCCCACAAUGAAGAGGACACGCGUCGGUGACAAGCGGUGCCAAUGCCAGCAAUUCCGCCAAACCGUCACCGCUUGCUUUUGGGGACGGUGAUUGGUCGGCAUGGAGACUGGACCCCCGUCAGAUGACGGCUAAUAUGAGACUGAGCAAACGCUGCUCUGCAGUCCACUCCAGGGAGUAAAUGACAGACAGGAACCCAGCGGCCAUUUCACUUUUCCUUUAUUCAAGUCACAGAUCAUUUCACAGGAGGCUCUUAACGCGAAUCCAAAACUCAUUCGGGAUCUAAUGGCAUCCAAUGGCAAACCAUAGCCUUUAAUUCACCAUAUUUAUUAUUCACUUUCUAUGAUACAUUGGUAGAAGUACAAAAGAAAUCAUACACUAAAAUAAAUGGAAUGGAAAAUAUUGAAAUCAGUCUUAUUUCAUGACGCAUUAUCCCACAUGAACUGAAAAUACCUCAUUUCACAUUUGGCAAUAAAAAAAAACAAUAAAAAAUAAACGAAGUAGAGAUAAAUAAUUUUU
Long non-coding RNA from Anguilla rostrata (American eel), 520 nucleotides. RefSeq lists it as uncharacterized. The record is from RefSeq and is a predicted model, not a curated record. Lineage: Eukaryota; Metazoa; Chordata; Actinopteri; Anguilliformes; Anguillidae. The transcript has 2 exons.